Molecule: ribosomal RNA, 525 nt
Filed under: uncultured Gammaproteobacteria bacterium
Lineage: Bacteria; Pseudomonadati; Pseudomonadota; Gammaproteobacteria
Description: SSU rRNA
Rfam family: Bacterial small subunit ribosomal RNA
Source: RNAcentral
CAGCUAGUUGGUGAGGUAACGGCUCACCAAGGCGACAAUCCGUAGCUGGUCUGAGAGGACGACCAGCCACACCGGAACUGAGACACGGUCCGGACUCCUACGGGAGGCAGCAGUGGGGAAUAUUGGACAAUGGGGGAAACCCUGAUCCAGCGACGCCGCGUGUGUGAAGAAGGCCUGCGGGUUGUAAAGCACUUUUAGUGGGGACAAAAAGCUACGGACUAAUAUUCUGUGGUCUUGAUUUAACCCAAAGAAAAAGCACCGGCUAACUCUGUGCCAGCAGCCGCGGUAAUACAGAGGGUGCGAGCGUUAAUCGGAAUUACUGGGCGUAAAGCGCGCGUAGACGGUUUUGUAAGUCAGAUGUGAAAUCCCUGGGCUCAACCUGGGAACUGCAUUUGAUACUGCAUGGCUAGAGUAUCGAAGAGGGAAGUGGAAUUUCCGGUGUAGCGGUGAAAUGCGUAGAUAUCGGAAGGAACACCAGUGGCGAAAGCGACUUCCUGGUCGAAUACUGACGUUCAUUGUGCGAAA